RNAcentral lists this ribosomal RNA (200 nucleotides) under uncultured bacterium. RNAcentral describes it as "partial 16S ribosomal RNA". It matches the Rfam family "Bacterial small subunit ribosomal RNA", at positions 524 to 723 of the family's 1533-position model. The record is from RNAcentral.
UACGGAGGGUGCAAGCGUUAUCCGGAUUUAUUGGGUUUAAAGGGUCCGUAGGCGGAAUUGCAAGUCAGAGGUGAAAUCCCACAGCUUAACUGUGGAACUGCCUUUGAUACUGCUAUUCUUGAGUAUAGUUGAAGUGGGCGGAAUGUGCGGUGUAGCGGUGAAAUGCAUAGAUAUCGCACAGAACACCUAUCGCGAAGGCA